Molecule: long non-coding RNA, 223 nt
Filed under: Elaeis guineensis (African oil palm)
Lineage: Eukaryota; Viridiplantae; Streptophyta; Magnoliopsida; Arecales; Arecaceae
Description: long non-coding RNA (EGUI_LNC018826)
Source: RNAcentral
CAAAACCAAGAACACUCAUCUUGGAGGAAUUUGGAUUGCAAAAAUCAAAUGCAUUCCAUCUUGUGAUUGUACUUUUGACCCAGGAGUUAUAUGGUUUGAUUGUGAUCCGAUUUAUGAGAAGAAAAUUCAAUUUUGAUUCUCUCAAUGUAAGAUAAUCCAAAACAUAAAGAUUCUUAAAUUUAUUUUUCAACAUUGGUGUCAGAGCAUCUUAUGAUCGAAUCCC